AACCUGUGAUGAAAAGAUUCUGCCAAAUGAUUCCUUUGAUUAUACUCCUUACCGUUCCAUUUUGACUGAGGUU
This is a small nucleolar RNA of Myripristis murdjan (pinecone soldierfish), 73 nucleotides long. Ensembl annotates it as small nucleolar RNA SNORD47. NCBI's taxonomy places the organism in Eukaryota, Metazoa, Chordata, Actinopteri, Holocentriformes, Holocentridae. The record is from Ensembl.